RNAcentral lists this ribosomal RNA (635 nucleotides) under uncultured bacterium. RNAcentral's name for it is "bacterial SSU rRNA". It matches the Rfam family "Bacterial small subunit ribosomal RNA", at positions 223 to 857 of the family's 1533-position model. The record is from RNAcentral.
CGAUGGAUCCGCGUCUGAUUAGCCAGUUGGCGGGGUAACGGCCCACCAAAACGACGAUCAGUAGCCGGCCUGAGAGGGUGAACGGCCACAUUGGGACUGAGACACGGCCCAAACUCCUACGGGAGGCAGCAGUGGGGAAUAUUGCACAAUGGGGGAAACCCUGAUGCAGCGACGCCGCGUGAGUGAAGAAGUAUUUCGGUACGUAAAGCUCUAUCAGCAGGGAAGAAAAAAAGUCCUUUGGACUUUGGACGGUACCUGACCAAGAAGCCCCGGCUAACUACGUGCCAGCAGCCGCGGUAAUACGUAGGGGGCAAGCGUUAUCCGGAUUUACUGGGUGUAAAGGGAGCGUAGACGGCAGCGCAAGUCUGGAGUGAAAUGCCGGGGCCCAACCCCGGAACUGCUUUGGAAACUGUGCAGCUGGAGUGCAGGAGAGGUAAGCGGAAUUCCUAGUGUAGCGGUGAAAUGCGUAGAUAUUAGGAGGAACACCAGUGGCGAAGGCGGCUUACUGGACUGUAACUGACGUUGAGGCUCGAAAGCGUGGGGAGCAAACAGGAUUAGAUACCCUGGUAGUCCACGCCGUAAACGAUGAUUAAUAGGUGUCGGGGGGCCAAGGCCCUUCGGUGCCGGCGCAAACG